RNAcentral lists this ribosomal RNA (228 nucleotides) under uncultured bacterium. Its description in RNAcentral is "partial 16S ribosomal RNA". It matches the Rfam family "Bacterial small subunit ribosomal RNA", at positions 103 to 334 of the family's 1533-position model. The record is from RNAcentral.
CGGGUGAGUAAUGUAUGGGGAUCUGCCUGAUGGCGGGGGAUAACUACUGGAAACGGUAGCUAAUACCGCAUAAUGUCUACGGACCAAAGCGGGGGACCUCCGGGCCUCGCGCCAUCAGAUGAACCCAUAUGGGAUUAGCUAGUAGGUGAGGUAACGGCUUACCUAGGCGACGAUCCCUAGCUGGUCUGAGAGGAUGACCAGCCACACUGGAACUGAGACACGGUCCAG